AAUGAACGUUGGCGGCGUGGAUUAGGCAUGCAAGUCGAGCGCUCAUAGCAAUAUGGGAGCGGCGAACGGCGUAGGAAUUCAUAGGAACGUACCCUCAGGUCGGGGAUAGCUACGGGAAACUGUAGGUAAUACCCGAUGAUCUCUGCGGAGCAAAGGUGUGAUUCCGCCUGAGGAGCGGCUUAUGUGAUAUUAGCUAGUUGGUGGGGUAAUGGCCUACCAAGGCGAAGAUGUCGUAGGGGGUGUGAGAGCAUCGGCCCCCACGACCGGAACUGAGAUACUGUCCGGACACCUACGGGUGGCUGCAGUCGAGAAUCUUCCGCAAUGGACGAAAGUCUGACGGAGCGACGCCGCGUGC
This 355-nucleotide ribosomal RNA is filed under the name uncultured bacterium. Its description in RNAcentral is "bacterial SSU rRNA". It matches the Rfam family "Bacterial small subunit ribosomal RNA", at positions 29 to 404 of the family's 1533-position model. The record is from RNAcentral.